Molecule: non-coding RNA, 85 nt
Organism: Felis catus (domestic cat)
Lineage: Eukaryota; Metazoa; Chordata; Mammalia; Carnivora; Felidae
Source: Rfam
GCCUGGGUGGCUCAUUCGGUUAAGCGUCCGACUUCGGCUCAGGUCGUGAUCUCACGGUUCGGGAGUUCGAGUCCCACCUCAGGCU